AGCAAACUAUGGCUUUGAAAUCAAUAGGAACUGUGGUCUCUACAAAUAGAAUUCUUUUCUACAUAAAUUGCAAGAAGUUCUGGCAGCUGCUAGUUCUUACCUCCAUUCAGAGAGUACACCACAUUCACCAUCACUACAUUGGGGCACAAGGACAGCAGCUUCAUCGGAGAGAUGGAGGGAGGCUAGGCCCUCUUUGAUCAACAACAGACUUGCAACAGAGCAUAUCAAGGUACAGCUGUGUUCGGAGUGCAAGGCAAAGGUGGCGGUGGUCAAGUGCAAAGAUUGUUUGCCAAAGCAGUAUACCUGCAUCGACUGUGACUGUGCAAUACACCGUACGCAAACAUUCCACAACAGAAGCACCAUGAUUUUAGGGUUCCACACCACAGUGGUUAAACAGGACUCUGUUGGUCAAUACUUUCACCAUCGUGAAGGUACCGUUUUAUUAUAAUAGUAAUAAUAAUAAUUACAUCCUUAGUAGUCAUCAUAAAUGUCUUUCUUAGGAUAGACACACAAGUCAUUGUCAGACUUCCAUUUUAAUUUGUUAAAGGGUUAGUUCACCCAAAAAUGAAAAUUCUGUCAUUAAUUACUCGCCCUCAUGUCGUUCCAAACCCGCAAGACCUUCGCUCAUCUUCAGAACACUAAUUACCGUAUUGACGCGAAUAUAAGACAAUGUUUUUUUCUUGGAAAUACAUCUGAAAAACCCAGUCGUCUUAUAUUCGGGCUCUAGACUUUAACAUGUCAAUAAUACACCCACAACAGUAGGUGGUGCCAAAUACGCAUAAAACCAGUGUGCCAUGAAAUACGUAAUGUAAUGCGUGUUGUAAAGAUCGUGAGUAAAAACUAAAAACAAAAGAAAAUCUUACAGCUGCAUGAGUCGUGACUCAUUAGCCUGAUGCGACCAAACUCUCUUUGUGAUUUUAAAACGUAACACGGUACCCAGAUUUGAAGACUACAGUAAGAUUUAACUUCUACUGUUAAUAAGAUUGUGGUAGGCUACUAUUAGAUGGAUAGCCUAAAUGUCCUAAUUCAGAUGGGCUACCUGUUUUUUUUAAUGGUAUAUCAAAAAGUGUAUGUUUUUAAAAUGUGAUUGUUGGUACAUUUGACCAGUUUUUACCAUACUUUCAAAACAAAAAUUAAAAUAGGAAAAAUAUGCAAUAUGAAAAUAAUUGAAGACAAAAUGUGUUUUACUGAGAAAAAACAAGAUUUGGUUGGGGGAAAUCAGGGUCACCUUAUAUUCGGGCCAAUACGGUAAGAUAUUUUUGAUGAAAUCCGAGAGCUCUCUGACCCUCCAUAGACAGCAAGGAUAUACAGUGUAUAUAUAUGUGUUCAUUUGUAUUAUUUGUGUUAAAUGGGAAGCAUCAAUCUCUUCUAAAAGUGGCAGGA
This 1383-nucleotide long non-coding RNA is filed under the name Sinocyclocheilus grahami. Its description in RNAcentral is "lncRNA (ENSSGRG00000035474.1)". The record is from RNAcentral. Lineage: Eukaryota; Metazoa; Chordata; Actinopteri; Cypriniformes; Cyprinidae.